Molecule: ribosomal RNA, 253 nt
Filed under: uncultured bacterium
Lineage: Bacteria
Description: partial 16S ribosomal RNA
Rfam family: Bacterial small subunit ribosomal RNA
Source: RNAcentral
UACGUAGGGGGCACGCGUUGUCCGGAAUCAUUGGGCGUAAAGGGUGCGUAGGCGGUCGCGCAAGUCGGAUGUGAAAUCUCAGGGCUCAACCCUGAAACUGCAUUCGAUACUGCGUGGCUUGAGUACUGGAGAGGAGACUGGAAUUUACGGUGUAGCAGUGAAAUGCGUAGAUAUCGUAAGGAAGACCAGUGGCGAAGGCGAGUCUCUGGACAGUUACUGACGCUGAGGCACGAAGGCCAGGGGAGCAAACGGG